GUCCCGGUAGCUCAGCGGAGAGAGCGCCUGGCUACGAACCAGGAGGCCGCAGGUUCGAAUCCUGCCCGGGACA
This 73-nucleotide transfer RNA is filed under the name Planosporangium thailandense. RNAcentral's name for it is "tRNA-Arg". It matches the Rfam family "tRNA". From Rfam's summary of the family: Transfer RNA (tRNA) molecules are approximately 80 nucleotides in length. Their secondary structure includes four short double-helical elements and three loops (D, anti-codon, and T loops). Further hydrogen bonds mediate the characteristic L-shaped molecular structure. tRNAs have two regions of fundamental functional importance: the anti-codon, which is responsible for specific mRNA codon recognition, and the 3' end, to which the tRNAs corresponding amino acid is attached (by aminoacyl-tRNA synthetases). tRNAs cope with the degeneracy of the genetic code in two manners: having more than one tRNA (with a specific anti-codon) for a particular amino acid; and 'wobble' base-pairing, i.e. permitting non-standard base-pairing at the 3rd anti-codon position. Lineage: Bacteria; Bacillati; Actinomycetota; Actinomycetes; Micromonosporales; Micromonosporaceae. The record is from RNAcentral.